UACAGAGGGUGCGAGCGUUAAUCGGAAUUACUGGGCGUAAAGCGUGCGUAGACGGCUAUCUAAGUCGGGUGUGAAAGCCCCGGGCUCAACCUGGGAAUUGCAUUCGAGACUGAAUAGCUAGGGUACGGUAGAGGGAAGUGGAAUUUACGGUGUAGCGGUGAAAUGCGUAGAUAUCGUAAGGAAGACCAGUGGCGAAGGCGGGUCUCUGGACAGUUCCUGACGCUGAGGCACGAAGGUCAGGGGAGCAAACGGG
RNAcentral lists this ribosomal RNA (253 nucleotides) under uncultured bacterium. RNAcentral's name for it is "partial 16S ribosomal RNA". It matches the Rfam family "Bacterial small subunit ribosomal RNA", at positions 524 to 776 of the family's 1533-position model. The record is from RNAcentral.